GUCCUACAUCAAGUCUAAAGCAAUGCUGAAAAUAAUGGAGAACCCCAAUAACUUGCCUUUCCCACAAGUCACCAUCUUCCUCAGACCGAGAAGCAGAUAGAGAUGGUGAGGGUAGGAGAAGCAGAUCAGCGGCACCCGACUUGGCAGCACCAGUCUUGGCGUCGCCGGCUUGGAAUGGCAGAUCACUGCUGUUUUUAGAGCCAAAUGCAUGAUCGCGAGGGAGACCAGCGUUGUCUGACCGAGAAGCAGUUCGCGAGGGAGUCUGGCAGAAUCAGAACCGUGGAUGAACGCUGACCACGGCGACGGACAAGCGUAUGUGGGCACGCAUCGAUGACGAUGUCAGUUGCGACGGGGCGUCCAAGGAUUGGGGUAGCGGAUCGCAGAGCGCGGCGGUGGCGGCGGCGAUGACGGCUUGGAGGAGACGGUUGCCGAGUGGUCACGGUGAAGGCAGUUCUAUUCUCACGCGUGCUAAGGUCAGAGGAGCUAAUAGGGAUCAUAUGAGA
This is a long non-coding RNA of Sorghum bicolor (sorghum), 503 nucleotides long. RefSeq lists it as uncharacterized. NCBI's taxonomy places the organism in Eukaryota, Viridiplantae, Streptophyta, Magnoliopsida, Poales, Poaceae. The record is from RefSeq and is a predicted model, not a curated record. The transcript is spliced from 3 exons.